Molecule: long non-coding RNA, 546 nt
Organism: Exaiptasia diaphana
Lineage: Eukaryota; Metazoa; Cnidaria; Anthozoa; Actiniaria; Aiptasiidae
Exons: 2
Source: RefSeq, a predicted model, not a curated record
UAUAUGAGCAAUGUAUCCUUAUUUGGAGCCAAUUUCGCAGAACAAACAGAUUCUACGUGUAAUUCGCCGAAGAGAGUCGACAGACUAGGUCUUAUUUGUUCUGCGCUGUUGUUUUUGCGACAAAGAUACGAAAGUUUUCAAAUAUUUCUUGCUCCAAGAAGUUAAGACAAGAAACCAUGAAUAAAGCUGCAGCACUUCUCUUGAUAAUGAUGGUGACUGCUCAGCAAUCUCAGGGUGGACUGUUGGCCUAUGGAAUUUGCCAGACGGGCUGCAAUACAGUGUGGGUUGCUUGUGUGGCUGCUGCAGGUGGAACGGCUGGUGUUUCUACCGGAGGAGCUGCGGUGCCUGCCGCCAUCGUUGCAUGUAACACUGCUCAAGGUGCUUGUAUGGCAGCAUGUGUAGCUGCUGGACUUACUCCCACUCCUUAAAUCAGCUUGCUCACAGGACUCACAGCCCAGUGUACUGAUAAAGCUGUUGUUCUUGUUGAAGUGUAGUCAAUACUUAAAAGUUAUGUUCUAUAAGUUUGUAGAAGAAAACACACAAUGU